ACACCAUAUCGUUUCCUGAUACAUUUCCCCGUUUGAUUCCUAGAAAACCGUACGCUACAUCUAACGUUAUGCAAAUUGCUUCCUCACAGAAAGCAAAAACAGAGAAAACACCUCAAAUCAGCACUUCGGGGCUUUUCCAGAUUGACCUUUGAUCUUUAACAGUCCAAGGGCUCCUUUCGAAAUCCUCUUGAGGCAAGUUCCAUUUGAGCGCGGUGACAUUUGGGGUAGGCAUGUCCAUUGCCAGUUUUUGGACGAGGCGUCCGGAAGAUUUUUUGUGCGAAUGCUUCCAAAUGUGAA
Long non-coding RNA from Hippocampus zosterae (dwarf seahorse), 297 nucleotides. RefSeq lists it as uncharacterized. The record is from RefSeq and is a predicted model, not a curated record. NCBI's taxonomy places the organism in Eukaryota, Metazoa, Chordata, Actinopteri, Syngnathiformes, Syngnathidae. The transcript is spliced from 2 exons.